UACGUAGGGUGCAAGCGUUGUCCGGAAUUAUUGGGCGUAAAGCGUGCGCAGGCGGUUUCGUAAGUCUGUCGUGAAAUCCCCGGGCUUAACCUGGGAAUGGCAUUGGUGACUGCACGGCUAGAGUGUGUCAGAGGGGGGUAGAAUUCCACGUGUAGCAGUGAAAUGCGUAGAGAUGUGGAGGAAUACCGAUGGCGAAGGCAGCCCCCUGGGAUAACACUGACGCUCAUGCACGAAAGCGUGGGGAGCAAACAGG
This 253-nucleotide ribosomal RNA is filed under the name uncultured bacterium. RNAcentral's name for it is "partial 16S ribosomal RNA". It matches the Rfam family "Bacterial small subunit ribosomal RNA", at positions 524 to 776 of the family's 1533-position model. The record is from RNAcentral.